UUAGCAUAUCAAUAAGCGGAGGAAAGAAACCACAGGGAUUGCCCUAGUAACGGCGAGUGAAGCGGCAACAGCUCAAAUUUGAAAUCUGGCUCUUUUAGAGUCCGAGUUGUAAUUUGCAGAGGGCGCUUUGGCUUUGGCAGCGGUCCAAGUUCCUUGGAACAGGACGUCACAGAGGGUGAGAAUCCCGUACGUGGUCGCUGGCUAUUGCCGUGUAAAGCCCCUUCGACGAGUCGAGUUGUUUGGGAAUGCAGCUCUAAAUGGGAGGUACAUUUCUUCUAAAGCUAAAUAUUGGCCAGAGACCGAUAGCGCACAAGUAGAGUGAUCGAAAGAUGAAAAGCACUUUGGAAAGAGAGUCAAACAGCACGUGAAAUUGUUAAAAGGGAAGCGCUUGCAGCCAGACUUGCUUACAGUUGCUCAUCCGGGCUUUUGCCCGGUGCACUCUUCUGUAGGCAGGCCAGCAUCAGUUUGGGCGGUAGGAUAAAGGUCUCUGUCACGUACCUCCUUUCGGGGAGGCCUUAUAGGGGAGACGACAUACUACCAGCCUGGACUGAGGUCCGCGCAUCUGCUAGGAUGCUGGCGUAAUGGCUGUAAGCGGCCCGUCUUGAAACACGGACCAAGGAGUCUAACAUCUAUGCGAGUGUUUGGGUGUCAAGCCCGAGCGCGUAAUGAAAGUGAACGGAGGUGGGAACCCGCAAGGGUGCACCAUCGACCGAUCCUGAUGUCUUCGGAAGGAUUUGAGUAAGAGCAUGGCUGUUGGGACCCGAAAGAUGGUGAACUAUGCUUGAAUAGGGUGAAGCCAGAGGAAACUCUGGUGGAGGCUCGCAGCGGUUCUGACGUGCAAAUCGAUCGUCAAAUUUGGGCAUAGGGGCGAAAGACUAAUCGAACUAUCUAGUAGCUGGUUCCUGCCAAG
Molecule: ribosomal RNA, 910 nt
Filed under: Alternaria consortialis
Lineage: Eukaryota; Fungi; Ascomycota; Dothideomycetes; Pleosporales; Pleosporaceae
Description: LSU rRNA
Rfam family: Eukaryotic large subunit ribosomal RNA
Source: RNAcentral